AACGCGAAGAACCUUACCCAGGUUUGACAUGCAGUGGACGAUACCAGAGAUGGUAUUUCUCUUCGGAGCCGCUGCACAGGUGCUGCAUGGCUGUCGUCAGCUCGUGCCGUGAGGUGUUGGGUUAAGUCCCGCAACGAGCGCAACCCUUAUUACUAGUUGCCAACACGUAAAGGUGGGAACUCUAGUGAGACUGCCUGGGUUAACCAGGAGGAAGGUGAGGAUGACGUCAAGUCCGCAUGGCCCUUAUAUCUGGGGCUACACACGUGCUACAAUGGUCGAUACAGAAGGCUGCGAAGUCGCAAGGCGAAGCAAAUCCCUAAAGUCGAUCCCAGUUCAGAUUGUAGUCUGCAACUCGACUACAUGAAGUUGGAAUUGCUAGUAAUGGCGUGUCAGCAACAGCGCCGUGAAUACGUUCCCGGGCCUUGUACACACCGAGUAUA
Molecule: ribosomal RNA, 440 nt
Filed under: uncultured bacterium
Lineage: Bacteria
Description: bacterial SSU rRNA
Rfam family: Bacterial small subunit ribosomal RNA
Source: RNAcentral